CCUGACGCAGCAACGCCGCGUGGAGGAUGACGCAUUUCGGUGUGUAAACUCCUUUUAUAUGUCAAGAAAAUGACGGUAGCAUAUGAAUAAGCACCGGCUAACUCCGUGCCAGCAGCCGCGGUAAUACGGAGGGUGCAAGCGUUACUCGGAAUCACUGGGCGUAAAGGACGCGUAGGCGGGAUGGUAAGUCUGAUGUGAAAUCCUACAGCUUAACUGUAGAACUGCAUUGGAAACUACUAACCUAGAGUAUGGGAGGGGGAGAUGGAAUUAGUGGUGUAGGGGUAAAAUCCGUAGAUAUCACUAGGAAUACCUAAAGCGAAGGCGAUCUCCUGGAACAAUACUGACGCUAAGGCGUGAAAGCGUGGGGAGCAAACGGGAUUAGAUACCCCGGUAGUCCACGCCCUAAACGAUGAACACUAGUCGUCGGGAUGCUUGUCAUCUCGGUGAUGCACUUAACAGAUUAAGUGUUCCGCCUGGGGAGUACGGUCGCAAGAUUAAAACUCAAAGGAAUUGACGG
RNAcentral lists this ribosomal RNA (517 nucleotides) under uncultured bacterium. RNAcentral's name for it is "bacterial SSU rRNA". It matches the Rfam family "Bacterial small subunit ribosomal RNA", at positions 382 to 916 of the family's 1533-position model. The record is from RNAcentral.